Molecule: long non-coding RNA, 18634 nt
Filed under: Gallus gallus (chicken)
Lineage: Eukaryota; Metazoa; Chordata; Aves; Galliformes; Phasianidae
Source: RNAcentral
AACUGACUUACCUUUGGCACGUGGCUUUGAAAGCUUCCUGCUCGACACAAGUCACAUAAGCCAUACUGUCACAGUAGCUCAGCAGUGCAGGUAAAGCCGGCCUGUAAAUGAAUGAAAUCAAGAAAUCAAGUGCCUCUGCCUAAUUUCUUAAGCUUAAGCAAACUGGAUCGAUUAGCACAUUGAAAAAUAUCAUUGCUGUCUCUUUCUCCCCACCACCUGAGUGCAGAUGAUUUCGAGUUAUACCAUACAGCUGAUGUUAAAUCUGUGCCAAGGUAGGAGAUGGAUCGUGGUUUGGAAUGGAAGUUCAGGUUAGGGCCAUAAUUCUCUCCCUGCCUCCAAACUUUUAAGAUCAGGACAAUUAAAGCUGUCCUACCCCUCACUGGACCUAAGAGACAAAGUAUGCAUGCAGGAUGCUCCACGGCUACGUGUGGUAAGGAACUGCAGAAGGAGGCCACGAGCCUUCCCCUGUGUUGGAAUGGGGAAAGUUCUGGGGAGCAGUAGGAGAUCGAGCACAGAGCACUGAAUAGACUGUAGUGCCUAACUUAGUGGUUGGUAACCCUGCCCAUGGCAGAGGGCUGGAACUGGAUGUUCCUUGAGGCCCCUUCCAACCCAAGUCAUUCUGUGACUCUAUGAUUCUGGGCACACAGAGAUGAGAGGAGCUGUAUAAUCAUGGGGUGACAAGACACGAACAGUUUAACCUUGCCACAGCCACUUCCACCUGGGCUCUGUGAGUUUUAAAAGGAGCAAAAUCUCGUUCAGGGCUUAAAAGUACGUUGAGCUCUGCAGAGAAAAAGCCAUAUGUCAAAUUCAGGUAUUGUUAAUGUAGUGGUGAAAAUACACGACUUUAACAUACAGACUGGCAGACGUUUCAUUUGAAAGCAGGAAUUAAAAUAAUGACAGGUUGUGUCGUGUGACAGCACACUUACCAACAAGACUGCCCUUUUCUCGUGCGUGAAAGUCAACCAUAUGGAGGGAGAGGCUGCUGGAAAUAUGCAAGGGGCACAAAAAUGGAGGCAGAGAUGGGGGAGUUUCAUGGAAGAUGCUGAGUUGAUGACCGGAGCCUUCAGCCAGGCUGUUACCCUCUUUACUUUCUAAUGCUGUGCAAAUGAAUUAAUCAAAGCGCACGCAUUCUCUUGCAAAUCAAAGGUUCUGCCUCUCUGUGCCCCUGAGGUCAUACGUGACCAUGUCCUGACCCUGACAGUCUGCAGUCGUCCUCAGCACGGGCACACACCUCCCUAACCGCUGCAGCCCAUGUCUGCUGUGCGUUGUAUGCUGCUUCCCCCUUCCUUGUUUUUAUUUUACAAAUCUACUUUAAAAAAAUCCUGUUACCUUUUAUGUAUUCCUGCAUCCUCCCUUGCACCGAGAAGCUUCUUGAUACUUAAGCAAAUGUUAAGAUAUAGGCAAAAAUAUAGGAAGAGAAGAUUAUUCCAGGCCACUUUGCAGAAAAAGGAAUACUUUAUUUUAUGGAAAGCAAAAUCUUCAGCUGAAAGAGGCUCGUGUUUACAUUAUCACUAAAACUUCUGCUGAAUGGGGAAGAAACAGUAACGGCAGACAGCGCUUCAAAAGGAAGUUCUGUUACAGCACAGACCAAAAAAAUUUAAGUUCUUCCAGUGUAAAAAAUACGUAGUCAAUGGCUGAGCUUCUACAUUUGCCUUCAAUACUGAGCUGUGAGCGUGGAGUGCCCCACUGCAAGUCGUUAAUGUACCCACCAGCCCUACUGCUCAAACCUAUGCAAGGAGAGAAUUAAUACAAAGGCAUUCAUCGAGCGCAAAACUGAGAUAUUCUUUCACUGCAACUUCUGCAGCUCUAACAAAGACAGCAUUCAAAGAAUAAAAAAUAAAAAAAGCAUUUCAAAGAGCAGCGUAGAUGCCGGGCAUGGAUCGGCUCUUCACUUAAAGACAGAGGCCGCAGGCCCAAAGGAAUAACUCAGACAACGCAGACGCUCCAAGUUUCAGACUUUCAGGCUGGAGGCCUCCAGUUGGAACUUAUCUCUGUUUUCACACAUCAGUAGGUUCGGCGGAGUUAGAAAUACCCAGCACGUACAAGGAAAACAAUCUCUAUCAGUGGAUACAGCACGAACACGAUAACGCAAUGUUUUGCAAGCCUCGAGCAAUUGUCAAGCCACUGCGCUUUGUCAAGGCAGCACACUUGACUGUCAGGGUCAUCUAACCUUAGGUCACCUUCUACCUUCUCCCUGGCCAGGUCCCAGCACCUCCAUUUACUCUCUGUAAGUGCUGCAGCACCCUGGAGGCAGGGGCAGAGGCAAUGGGUGCUGCUGCCCCAGUAGGAGCAGCAGCUGCCUGGGUGCAUCGCUUUGCGCCCCUGAGUUAAAUGAUCCUUAUCAACUACCCCUCCAAACAGAAAAGAGAAGGACCCUACCUUAUUCCACCUAUUUUGGUAUGGUUUUAUAUUUGCAUUAUUUUAUUUCAGUGUUCGAGGCCCUUUUUCAAUUAAAUAUAGCCACUCACAAAACACGAUUCUUUUUGUUAGCUGGCUUGUUAUUCCCUAGCCAUACAGUUUUUACUUAAUCUCCUGUAAAGCAAACCUCUGACUCUUAAUUGUUAUGUUUUACAAUAGAAAACAUAAUGGGUUUUCUUUACUACGUGAUUAAGCCUUCCAGUUCCGAUUUGUGAACUCCAUGUAGACGGAAAGCGGAAUUCAAUUAAAAUGUAGCAAAAGGGCACUUCAUUUUCUAUCAGUUUAAUUAAAUAACCAUAGAUGUACAUAACGUGUAAGCAGAAGAAUACACUUAUCAGAACACGGUGCACUGCGAGCUGAUUUAUUCAGCCAGGACUAAUCACUGCUAGCUGGUGAGCUGCUGUGAUUGUUUCUGGUCAGCACGACCUUCAAGACUUCAGAGCUGGUACGUCUCAUCCUCUCGCAGUCUUCACUCAUGGGCUCGAUGAGAAAGCAAAAUAAGAGAUUGCCUGCUUUUUCAUCUCUCCGUGGCGCUUUCCAUUUUGAACAUAAAUGAGUAUAUUAAAAGAGCUUCAGCGUUCAGCGGGUUGUAGUUCCAGGAGCUCCGGCAGUGACUCCCAGCCCUUCAGUGGUUUGACUUGCUCUAAAAAUCUGGCGUCAAAAAAAAUGUGUCGCGUAGCACUUUUAUUGUGUUAUUUUAAAAUACCUACAGUAAAUGUAGCCUUACUGCAGGCUGCCCUACUUCCGUAUUUAGUUUUAAGUGGUCUUAUUAAAAAAAAAAAAAAAAGAAAGAAACAUUUAAAUAAAAUAAAGUAUACGUAUAUAACUCAUUAAACUUACAUUCCUCAUUCCAGUAGGCCACAGAAGCAAUAGAAAGUGUGGAUUCCCUCCUUUCUGAUUUAUCAGCCACUUGUGCUAUGGUGUGCUCAGAACAGAACGGGUUCCUACUGUGCCUGCUGGUGUACACACGAAGUUAAAGAGACAGAGCCCUGGCAGAGAGGUUUGCUUUAAUUUGCUCAACACCUGAGGUGUUAAAAGUAAAGCCAAACAGGAGAAGCUUUUUGCUUUUUUUUUUUUUUUUUUGAGGUGAAGCACUGGCUGUUCAAGUGCAGGUUUACCAGCGCCAGGAGGCAGAGCGUGGGAGGAUGCCACAGAGGGCCCCAGGUCCUCCAUCCCCUCCUGUUCCCCUACCUUGAGUUCCAGCUGCACUCACCCAGGCCCAUAGACUGGCAGUUGGAGAGAGUUUAAACGAACCAGGGAACUGAAUGUAAGCAAUGAUGGCAUUAAGCUCUGCUAAAGAUAGAGGCUUCCCAUUGAAUUUCCUUCCUGCGUGACUCUGGAGCGUAAUCCUAGCACCAGGACCACUUCUCAGGUGGAAAGGAAGAAAAUUAUUACUGACAAGGUCCAAAGGCUGGGAUCCUGACCUCCUCAGUUUUGAACUGUGCCUUACAGAUUGGCAUUGCAGAUCUGUGGAUUCAUCUGAUUUGCUUAACAUGGAUCAGAAUGUAAUUCCUGCUCCCGAAUCACUGUGUUGGAAACCAAGCUAUCUUAUGAAUUUUCUAGUGUUUUGUUUUCUUUUUUGUUUGGUUGGUUUUAGUGUUUUGUUGUUGUUGUUGUUGUUAUUGUUUUUGAUAGGCUGAAAGAUUUCCUUUCUAUAGCAGAGAGAUUCUGAAGGCAAGCGUAAGGAAGAAGAAAAAUCUCUGGUCAAAAUUACAGUGGUAACAGCAAGUUUCUAAAGAGAUCAAUUUUGGUUUAGGCAAGGGCAAGAUUAAGCAGAGAAAAAGAGGUAAGGUAGAGGCGUUUCACUAACACGUAUUACAAAAUUGUUGACUUGGGUUGGCUCUUGCUGGUUGAAUUUUAGGAGGGAAUGGUCCUGAAAGUAUUGAUUCAUUACUGUAAGACUGGGCUAGCAGAGGUCCAUAAAUCAACUGUAUUUUAGAAUGGAAGAGAGGUUGGGCUGUCCAUUAACCCACCUCUGGCUACAGGCAUAGGCCAGUUCCUAGCCAAGUGAGCAGCAGGACCAGGACCAGCACACUUGACAUUGCCCAUGGGUGCCAGUACCCAGUGUUUAGCUCGGGUGUGUCCCUGGCUUGAUGCGAUCUGUCUGCUCAGUGACCUUCACCACAUCCCUCCUCCACGUUCUUCUGCAGCCCCUCCUUAGAUCCACGUGAGCUAUCUGUACUAUCUGUACUAUCUUAAGGCAAAGAAUGUCACAAGUAUAUUACCCACGUACAUAUAAAAUAAUACAAUUUAUUAUACUGUUUGCUUUGAACUUGCCUACCGCCAGCUUCAUCUGAUGCACCCUUAUUCCUGUAUUGAUAGUGAAGGCAGAAAGUUGAUCCCUGUUCAUCCUUUUCAUGUGCCAUUUUAAAAUGUUUGUUGCUAUUUUGAAGAAGCAUCGGAGGGGCAAUUAAAGUCUCUGAAGUAGAGGCUGUAGUCUCUGUGCUGGAAGCCUAUUUCUUCUUAGCUCUCAGCUACUGCUCAGCCCGCUUUCUGUGGCAGAUGCUGGAGCUGCUCUUGUAUGGCAGGCCUUCCAAGAUCCCAGGGAACUGGAAGCUCCGCCGAGCACACUUGGGGAGAGCCACUCUUUCCCACUGUUAGGGAUGAUGCGUUGGAGGAAAAGAUGCAGUCAUGCAUAUUGCGCUCUUAAAGCCCUGCUGGCCUUUCUGCAAGCAGAAUCUAAAAGAAUAGUAAGGAGUGGAAAUAAAGAGAAGAAAAUCUGCUGUUCCACGGAAAUCAGCUCCAUUCUAAGAAUAUUGCUUGCUAAGAAUUAAAGCUCAAGGAAUCAGUGCAAACUUCAGCUGAGAGCUCAAGUAAAAACCUGAAGUAGUUCAAGCCUUUCUCUAAGGGAGCAAGACUUUGUUUCUGGAGUUUGGCAGCAGACCUUAAUCAGGCAGAGCUGACAAUAAUUAAAACAGUGGAAGCUUGUGAGAAUUUCCUAGUAUUUCCAUAGGAGAUUCGUGGAAUAUAUUCUCAUUUUCCUUGCUACGUGUUUUACAAGGCACAGAAAUAUUUCUCAAGCAGACAGAAAGGUCCAUUUUCUAUUGGUGAGAAAAUACUAAGAAGGAUAGGUGGGACGUGUUUUCACUCUUAGGUAAAAAUAUAAACAGAGUCAGAAACCUUACUGCAAGGUAAGAUAUAUUGUGUCCCAGUAUGGAGGUAUUCUGUAGAACUCCAGGUAGUGUCAAAGCUCUUACACAGCACAGUAGUACUGAAAGCAGAGGUUAGGGAAAAUGCUGCUGAUGCUACGAUACAUGGACAGAAAGUCUUCUAAUUUAGGUUUAAGAGUAACUUCAGUGAUAGGUAUUCUGUGUAAAUCAAAAUAUUCUGUACUGUUGUGAAACAGUUUCUGUCAGUAAAUUUCAUGCGGGCAACACCCAGACCCACUUACAGCCAUCCUGGGUUUGGCUGCAGGAUCUGAUUAUUUCUUCAGAAGAAUAUUUUUGGCUAAGCAGGUACAGAGACAGUGCUGAAAGUUUCACACAACACAAAGAAAGGUAAAAGGAAAAGGCAUCCACAACUCCUGUUCCUAGGCGGGUCUGCAGGGCAUUUUUCCUGGAACUCUCAGUGUCCCUCCUGGUAGAAUGGGGCACCUACUCUUGCCAUGAAUGAGUGCCCAUUUAGGAUUUCCCAUUUGAAAAUGGUUCCUCUGGAAGACCAGUCACUGUUGUUGGCUCCCCAUUAGGGUGGUUAGACAGACUGAAGGUCAGGAAGGGUCAGAGCCUCUUAACAGUAACCCCAAAAGUUCCCUGGUGUGAGUCAGGUGAAAGUUACUGAAGAUGGUCUUACCCCUCACUGGCUCGUUGACUAAACAUAUCAUUGGUUAUCACUUUGACUAUCAGCACUUGUUCAGUAAGCCUCUGAAAAACAACCUAGUGUACUUCUGGUUCGAGGUAGUGGGUCCUGGCUCAGAGAUACACAGAGAACAUCUCCUGAGCAUCACAGAGACUUCCAAUGUGAGCAAAUCUCCGUCCCAGAACAGGCCUAUCAUCCAGCCCGCAAGCAUAUCCAGUAGGAAGAUGACACCAUACUGAGGACCCGUGAUUGGUUUGCCCUAAGUUUCAUGAGUAGAGGACUUCUUCAUGUGCCACACCAUUUGAUUUGGUGCUGAGCAGCAACAGGUCAACUUUGUGCAGAAUGUAGACAAAUUACAGUAUGUCUAGUGAAAGACUGUAAACGCUAAGAUGCUUUCAGUGAGCUUAACAGAUGCUUGGAAGAGAAUUUAACUGACUUGUUGCUGUUCAGCAACCCCAUAACGAAGUGUUGCAAAUCAGAAUUGCUGUUUUUUUAGGUCUAGAACCAUUGACUCUACGGUUUUUGACCUGUGUGACCUGAGUCAGUCACCUGUUGUGGCACUACACUUCAGUUUGUUAUCUUCUGAGACAGUUGCUUUUUGGAAUGAGGCAGGAAGAACACCAAAACAAAACAAAUAUGAUUCAUGAGGAGGAUUUGUGAAGGGUUGCUCUCUGUAGAACAGUCCAGUGUUCCCAUUAGGAAUCUGUUGUGUGGGCCCCUGUAUUUAAGGCACUUUGCAGGUUGAUCUCGAGGAUUAGGGAUUGGUGAGGAAAUUAUGGAUCCAACUCCAAUCCAAAUUUGAAAUAGCAAACGGAAGUGUCACAGUACUGAUGGCUCACAGCACAGGGCUAGCCACUCGCCUCUUCUGUAAGGAAAGUGGUAGGUACAGCAGCUUCUGUUAGCAAUCCGUGGCGGCACAUUUGCUCCUGCAAUCUGUUGUAAAAGGGAAUCUGUUUCUGGUGUUUGUUGUUUCUGACUGGCUGGAUAGCUUUUUAGGGAAUAAGGGAUAGAGGAGGCACAAGGGAAGAGCAAGUCACACAGCUCUAUGGACAGCACAGACACUACAGAGGCGAUCGCUGCUAUCAGGGCUCUAAAUACAUAAGGCGCUCAACACAAAGCCAGUCACUAUCAAGGUCCCUGCAGGGAGCAUCAAGAAAAUAAAAUAGUUCUUUUCAGGCCCUGGACUUCAAAAUACAUAAAUCAAAGAGCUACCAUAUUGCUGAUUACUCUUUCAUCCCUUGCUAUGUGCAUGUGCUUGUGCUUGGAACCGCAGUCCUCCAGCCGACUUGCCUGUAGGUGAGCUGUGGGCAUGAGUGUGGCCUAGAAGCCCAGAAUCACAGCUUUUAGGACACUUAAUAUGAGACACUGCCUUAAAGCAUAACUGUAGCUUUAUUCAUGGAAUUUAGAAAUAAACUGAUCUUUAAUUUCUUUUUUCCCCCUAGGGAAAUCCCCUCCCUCCUUCCCUUACUGUCUGUUUCCUCGUGUCAUAAAUAGGAUCUGAAGAAUCAUGCUAGGGAAAAUAUUAAACCCCAGUAACUCAUGACUCUCUUAUCCCUAUAGAAGGAGACGUGUGGUAUAUUAAUUCAAGCCAUAUUUCUUAAUAGACAGUAGGAGACCUAAUUUAUUGCAUGAAAUUAAUUACAGUAUUACACAUAAAAGUUAAAUGAAUCACAGAGUACUUACAUUGCACUAUUUCCACCUUUGUGGUAUGAUGGAAAUAAUGAAAUCAUGAAUGUUUGUACUCACAGCACUGUUUAAUGCCCCAAGGACAGAGAGCAUGAGGGUGCUUCAAGUCAUCCACUGAUACCGUCUAGUAAUUAGACUCUGCUCGUCCAAAUUGUCCUUGUACUCACAGGGUGCAUACACACCAGCAAUGAACUCUAUCUACUCAAGAUCUCAAGAAGCCAAAAGCACCCUAGCUGAGUUAUUCACAUGCUUCAUAAAAACUGGGCAAUUAAAGUUAUUCUCUGUGCUUUGGCCAACUUAGAUGGAAAGCUAGGCUGCAUAAGUUAACAUGCAUGCAAACUACAUCAAGAAAGCAUCCUUCUUUUUAUUACUGUUCCUGUGUAUCACAAUAUAAGUAGGGAGAGCCCAGAAGUACGUACAAACUCUAAUACUCCAGAGAAAAUGUUUUCUUAAUUCUGACCUUCUCUUAACUUAUUCCUCAAAAUUGGCCACAGGACUGUCUUUCUGAAGUACAGUUUCUAGCACUUUGUUCAGUCUAAUUUUGAUUAUGCUAAGUAAGUGGAUUACCAUGUCUUUAAAAUAAUACCGAAUCUGUUAAGACAGAAUUACUCAAACCAACUGCACACCAUGUUUUCCCAAUUCUAUCCCACCUUCCAAUUAUACGUUCUCUGUAGAAAUACAGAAUCGUAGAACGGCUUGGGUUGGAAGGGACCUCAAGGAUCAUGAAGCUCCAACCCUCUGCUGCUCGCAAGGCCACCAACCUCCAUAUCUAAUGCUAGACCAGACUGCACAGGGCCCCAUCCAGUUUGACCCUGAGCACCUCCAGGGACGGAGGCCUGUUCCAGCACCUCACCAAUCUCUUGGUAUACUCUCCUUGUAUCAGUCAGCCCAUCUUCGAUUAAAAAAAUCUUCUGUUCUCUAUCACAUCAUUCCAGUUUAACUGUGAAUGGUUGUUUACCUCACUCAAUCAAACAGCGUAUAUUCUUUUCCUUCUCAGCUGCCCCUUAGUAAUUCUUACUGCUUCUAAAUAUCCUUAUUUAAUCCAUAAGGAAUAUUUUCAAAGUUGUUACGUGACAACAUUCAUUGGCACCUUUGAAAUAGCAGUUAGAGCAUUCUAUACUAUGAGCUGUAGGGUUUUUUUUUCCUGAGUAUCAUAUUAUCCGAAGUAGAUUACAGACACCUUGCUGGGCAUUGGUUUUCUUAAUGGCCACAUUGGGCCUCUGAAGACACGCAGAGAAACUACAUUUGUCUUCCUAAUAAAUAGCCUCUGGUUAACGAAAUAUUUUCUUUAGUCUGAAAAAAUAAUGCUAACUGGUUGAUAAAAUAUUAAAUGGGAAUGUUGAAAAUAUAGUUAAUAUUUUAUAACUUCAAACUACAAAUGUGAGUAUUUGAUUACUAAAAUUAGAGACUUUAUGCACACGUUGGAAAGCAAGCUCUGAGAAGUGGACAAACUUAGAUUUUGAUUUGAAGUAAAAGAAGCCUUAGUAGUUUCUCAUUUUUCUCAAUUUGUUCGAUUCAUCAUUCACAGCUCACAUCAUUCUCUCUUCAUGAAACAUCUUGGAUCAUAAGCUACUACUUUAGUUUUCAUGAGAAAAACUAAGAAGUGUGAAUUAAACAUUCUGAAGGUAUUUGCUAGACAUGUUUUUCCCAUAGCUUCUCUGAAGAAAACUGGUUUUCUUCUAAACUAUAUUAAUAUAAAGGAGCAAUAGUAUGUAGUUUAUAUUCUUGUUCCAGAGCGCUGUGGCAAUUCUAACAUAGGGCAUACUUUGCCCGUUGCAAACAAACUUAUAAUGCAGUCAGUUACUGUUGGUAAAUAAGACUCCUAAAAUUACAUACAUCAAAUUGACAACAAUCUUUGUCUGGACUGCUUUGUGUUCUAAAGGCUUUGAGACUAUAGUGGUCUUCUUCUAAGUCGGUUCUCAAAUAACUUAAGUAGAUGUCUCCUACUUCAGAAACUCCUUAAACCAAGUCCUGGUCCAGUCUAGAUGACUCACGUGCCAUGCAAAAGAGGAAUGUUACACUGGAGCUCCCUGGUUCUAGAGCAGGAUAACAAGACAGGUCUACAAAGUGAAAGGUUGCUUCUUCUCUUACUUUCUUACUUAAGCCUUCCUCUUUGGGAGGUUAACUAAGCAGAAAUCAUUUGAGUCUCUGUCUGCUAUUCACGUUUUUAAUACAGCUGUUACUAAUAAUUGAGAAGUUUCUCACACCGUUUGAAUGAAGGUACAAAAAAUACCCAUUUUCACAUAUUCACAGUCUUUGCUGCCACAGACCAAAUACAAGAACUAUCGCUGCAAAAUGAGCACUUCAAUUUGAAGACUUUAACUAUUGUUAGAGAUGAACACAGACAUUGUCAAGCAGCGAACAGAUCUGCGUUUUUACUGUUUAUCACGGUAAUAAAUAUAAUUAAAGGCUUUUCUCAUUUUCCUUCAGAUUGAGUUUCUUAGAAAGAACAGACGUGUCUGUCAGGAUUCUGAACAGGCAAAUGAUCCUCAUCCCUCCAGUAUCCUUGCUCUUCUGCAUCACGUAUUUUAUGUUCUACCAAAAGCAUAUAUGUGAAUGAUUCACUUUAUGAUCGAGGCCAUGAAUGUCAGUAACGUGAUCCAUACAUGUUCUUUAAUGUUGUUUUUGAGUACAGGACGAUAAAAUAAAUUGAGGUUUGGAGCAAAACUACAAGCGAUGCUUUCUAAUAUCACUAACUAAUUUCACUUUGGGGUUCCAUUAUGACAGCACAGAUACUAGGUUUCAUUUUUAUUACUAUCAGACUUCACUUAUCACAGCAAGAAUAGGCUGCUAACCACAGAAAGUAAAAUCGAUCAUCAAAGUUCUGGUUUUGCUUAGGAAUCAGACUGUUUCAGAUACUCUGUAAAGUAAUACACUCUAGUUAUCUAUUUAUGACUUAAAAGAAACUACAUGUGUUUUGAAUGCAGUAUAUUUCCCCGUAAUAACAACAAAGCUAUACAUACCUGAGGAGCACGUGCUGGAGCUGGAAGUCAAGGGUAAAGUGCAUUGCUGGUGCUGGAAUGAAGGCACACAGCCUCCUAUGUGGAGGGUCACAUAGUGCAGUCAGGGUGCCAGCGCUGCUUGCACAAAUAGGUGAACUUUUAUCCUUGUCCAUGAUCUGCAAAUAGAGAGUACAUGCAUGUGAAGGUUGGAGUUAACAUCGGUGAAAAUUAAUUAAUACAAAAAGGCGUACAAAAGACAAAAAUACCUCUGUUGAUAAAAAGAUGCCUGCAAUUUUAAUGAUUCAUCAUGCAUUCAGACUAGCCGACUUCAUCUCCGCGUUUCGUAAUUUAUUUUCAAAUUACUUAUUAAGUUCCAGAUUAUUUAUUGAGUUCAACAGAGCUAACAGAGUUAGGAGAGAAGAUAAAUGUAAGAACACUGUAAGGACGGAAACUUGUUCAACGUGUUCUAAAUUGCCAGUGAAGAAGAUGCUCCAGCAUCUCUGGAUAGUACAGUUCCAGUCAUUACCCGUCCUUGGACUCAGAAGUGCUUCACAAAUAGGUAGCCUGUUGUUCUUUGCUGUAAAUUAAGAUAAUCUUUUCUUGUCCUCCCAUUACAGGCUACAAAAGACAAUCGAUGACUGUCUUCUUCACAAUAAUCUUUAGAUGUCAGAUUCUUCUAUUUUCCCCUCAGUCCUCUCUUCUGUAGACUAAACAAACACAGCUUUUCCAAACUGCGCCUUACAAACCUCGCUCUGCAAAAGCCUUUUCACUCGUGUUCUCCUACAGAUUCUCUUUCACCUGGGCACUGAAAUUAUUUCCCUUUUCUAGAUUUUAUUUUAACACAGAGGUGCAAUUUUAUUUGCUUUUUUUCUUGGCCAUUUUGCUCAACCGCUUUGUUGUUUGUCUGAGUGAUUGAUUUCAUUUCUUCUGUAAAAGUAGAUUCUGCCAACGUCAUCUGGAGUUUGGUGGUGGUGUAGAGCAGUAGGCCCUGCAGAGCCUUGAAACAAAACGCAUCUGUCCAUUUUUUCAGUCACUUUUUGGGAAAUCAGUAGUGACACUUAAUUCUCUUUGAAUGAUUCACUCGUUCUCAUUUUUUUUUCCCCCUUUCAAGUAGUGGAUGGAGCGGGGGUUUUGUAUGCCUUCUCUUUUGUAAUACUGAACCUUUAGGUGUAAUGCCUAAAACAAGAAUGGCAAAAGUCUUAAUAAAUGAGCAGCCAUAUAGAUGGACAGAGAAGCGUAAGUAUUGUUUGCUUUGAGAACCAGGCAGAAGCAGAAGGAAGGUUUGACUCAAAGCCCACAUCCCUCUCCCUUGCCUCAAAACAGAUCACAGCACCUUCUGAAUCAGAGGCAGAAGGAUGCUGCUAGCUGAAAUAUUCAGUGGAGUCCCUUUUGAUGAUUACACAGUUACUAGUUUGUGGUAAACGCGUGUCACAUUCUGCACUGUUUUCAAUAUGAGUUUUGUCUGAAUAAAGCCGAAAUAUUCUGGACCAAGAAAAAUAAAACAAAGGAUGUAAGAUAACAGAUCAAAGAAGUGCUUUAAAUGCUGCGGUGGCUGUCUUUCUUCACAUUUAUUUCCAGCUGCCUGCCUUUGGAGAAUCUAGUCUCUUUGCUUUCUUAACCAAAGAUAGUUUGUCCCAGGAAUCUCCAAAUUAUUUCCUUGGAAAGAAAGACAAAAAGUGAAAAACUGGUCAGAGGUAGCCCAGAUUUUCUGCUUCUUUGCUCUACUUCACUCACACAAACUAUACCACAGUCACAUACGAAAGUUCUUCUAAGAAGUGGUUUCUUCGGUUUGGUUUUACUUUUUAAUAUUCAUAUCAUCUAUUCUGAGGGUAGUUUCAUAAUGAAUUCCUGAAAUUUAGUAGUUGUUCUCUGUAAUCUAACUAACCUAGCCGUUUGCAAAGCAUCCAGACCCCACAGUACCCAGGUGUGUUCCCUGUGACGAUGGAUUCUGUGGCUCCCAGCAGCUCCUGCUCACAGCCAUCCAUUUUCCACAUCAGGAAAAGCCUUUUCACACCUUCUCUGAUGAUUUCUGAUGCAGUCACCUCCUGGACAUACUGAAGCUUAGCUGCCCACAGCUCCCAAAAGCAGUGGGGAAAAACCCUUUCUCUGGGAACAGAGAGGCGACUCCUCAGCACAUGGCUAUUUAAGCAAGAGUGAUGGGCAUUGAACAUAUUCACAGUGAGCAGAGAAGCAGUUUACAAACACUUCUCCAGCAGACAGUCGUACCUGUGCUAUCUGCUGUAUUUUUCUGAAUCUCUUUUCAGAGAAGCCUUAAAAUGACUUUUUUUCCCUCAAAACAGGAACUGCCAGCUCUGACAGUUCAGACAUUAGGCUCAGAGAGAAGUGGACAGCUUCAAGCAUUUUGUUUGUUUCAUGCCAUUUCCUGAAACUGAAAUUACAGAAUUUUACAUAAUGCAUUUGCAUUUCAAAAUUACAAGGUCAUUGUAAGAACUGUUUUUUUCCAGCCAGAUAUGUAAUACAUGUGACAUUGGCUUUUUUUUUCCCUCUAUCCACGUGUAUGCAAAUCUACUUUCUUCACCCUGAUGUUCUCUUGCCUUUACUGAUGCAUACUUUCUGUUAUUUGCAAGAAUAGAACUAUGCUAAAGCCAACGCCACAGAAUCAGACGUUAAUACUGUAGAAGUGAUUUUGCUGAACGUAUUUCCCCACCACAUUGCACACAUAUGGAUGCCGGCAGUACAGUAAGGCCAGAAAAGGCCACUUAGUUCCUCCAGAGUCCUGCACUUCUUAAGGACUGCUUCUCCAAAUAAGCUACGCUAGUUAAUCUAUAGACAAAUCUAUGUCUGAAUAGCUGUUAAGAUGGUCUGUUUGUUUCCCAGCGUUACAUCAAGAAUUGUUUCCUAUUAAGCUGUUUCCAAACACCUGCUCCCAAAUUUUCCUUCUCAACUUCUGGCCAUUUUAUUUUGAUCUGCAGCAUCCAAAAAUUUUGCCCAAUUUAUGUAUUUAUGUCCCUUAUAUACUGAAUAGAUCUAGUCAGUAUCAGGCAUACAUAAACUUUAAUCGAGCAAGAUCAAGUUGUUUGUGUAUUUAAUAAAUUCAGCAAGUUCUCAUAAGAGUGGUGACCUUGUUCUGAAUGUAGGUAUCUUCCUUUGAACUGCCUGUGACACUUCAUACCGAAUGCCUCGAACAUUAUAGGUGUGGUUGUAGCAGCACUAUACGUAACAACUCUAAAAAUCAUUAGCUCCUUAAUUUCAUCUAUUUUCAAAUCUAACGUACAAAGAGACAGCUUCCUUCUUAUAACCCCCAUGGCAUUCUGAUGCAUUUCUUGAGUUUAUGUGUUAGAUCAAUAUUUCAAGAACCAAUUUUGCCAAGUAAAGUGUAGAGAUCCUCAGCACUCACCAGAGGAGCUGAACCCCUUGCAGAAUCUGCACAUCGUUUGUUUUGUCUCUCUACAUCUGAGUGACUUAAAUGACAGUAUCCAACUGAAUGCUAGCAGAUCAUGUUCUAAUAUUGUUCGUCUUGCCAUGUUUUCUCUCUCUCUUUUUUUUUUAAUGUUUUCAAAGUUAAGCAGUUAAUCCCAGGUCUUAAAAUAGUCCAUGAAUGUAAUGUUAUUUCCUCUUUUUGUGUAUCCCACAUGUAGCUUUCUACAACCUGUAAAAUCAGAAGCAACAAUGAAAACAACCGGUGACCUCACUAGGUCAAACUUUGACCUGGAACCUAAUAGUAAUUACAUCACAUACUGGCAAACUGUCCAAGUAAUUCAGAGAUUAUAUUAAUCCCAAGAUAUUAUUGCAUAUCCCUUUCAGAAAUCUGUACAAAUAUUCAGUAAAGCACUUAUUCCAUCAUGUGCAGGAUGAGAUCACUACUCCGCAGUAUGCUUGUUUCAGCAUCAGAUCUUUCUCAGAAGGCUAAGAACAAAACACCAUAGCCAAAUGCAUUGUAUGCCAGGCUUGUAUCCCAGAAAGAGCGCCACAUACAUAGGUUUCAAAAUGCUUUAUAUUAAUGAACUAAAUCUACCCAGUCAUAUGCUAACUUCUUUGGGUUGACAGUUGAACUGGAUGAUCUUAGUGGUCUUUUCCCACCUUAAUGUUUCUAUGAUUCAGUGAUUUUUUUAUUGUAACCUUGCUUCUUCAAAAAGGACAUUCAUUCAACUACACGACUUUCCAAUUUCAUUUAAAAAUACAGUAAAAUAAGCACUGCUUUACCUUUUGCUGUCUUCCUCUGACUUUAAUGUAGUGAUUUAUUUUCAGAUUUUCUUUGUUAUUGUUAAGUCCCUUUACAUCAAAACUUACACAUUCACUGACAUUUCUGUUGAAGAAUCUAUAGUCUGAAAGGUAUCUGUAGAUGACUGGCUUUCAAGCCAUUGCAGUUCUAUCUUAGAGCAGGCCGUACAACUGUAAUUACUGCCAGGUGCACCUCGUUCAUAAGGUUGAUCUGUGUUACUGGGCUGAGCAGGGCCCAGACACGUGCUUGGGCUCUGCCACGGGACAACCUAUGGCUCUGAGCUGUUAGUGUGCUUUUUGGUGUGCUUCUGGGCCAGGCCGAGAAGCUCUGAGGUGAAGGCACAGCAAGGUGUGAGGAGCAGCUAUGGGCUGGGUAUUGUGCUCGGCAGGCAGUAAGAACAGCUGCCAACCAGAAGGCCAGCUGUGUGAAUGGGAGCUGUGACACGCUACCCACCUGCAGCUGCACCGCGGCCCUUUUGUUUUCUAGCACAGAUGCCUAAGAAAAUAAAGGCAGAGACUCAGUGCAUUGCCUCCUGCUCCUGUUAUCAGAGAGCUGCUGGCAUGGAGAGGCCCUGAUGAGCUCCCUGCGGCUGCAGCAGGAGGGCUCGGCCUGCUCAGCAGCAGCACAGAGGCUGGGCCGUGGGUGCUGUCAGAUACCUGUCCGUAUUUACAGUUACCACGUUUGUUUGCUGUCUCUUCAACUGGGGAAAUCUGUUUUAUCUUCGCACAACAGCAAACUCACCGUUUGCGUUCCCAGUUCCUUUUUCUUUUUUAGCUGUUUAAUAUUUUGUGUUUUACUUCAGUAAACAUUUGUUUUCAGGGGAACCCUACUCUUAUUUUAUUGCAGUGUUAGUGCUGAACCAGCUUUCUCUGUUACUCUCCGAACCCUGCAGUUUUCUGCCAUUGAUGCUCACAAUACGAUUCCUGUUUUUCUGGCCUAUAUAUUGAACUACAAGUACCGUACAUACUUAAGGUCUUCAUUUUAGGCUUGUUGUUCUGUUUUUUUUUCCUGACCACCGUCAGAUCCAGGACUGGAUUAGCUGUUAUUACUUCUUCUAGUGGUAUUAAUAAAAAAUAUCCUAUAUCUUGGACAUAAUAAAUAUAGUAUUAAAAAUUUUCUAUAUCAUACCAAUAACUUGUAGCCUAUUUGGGAACACUCUUGCACAUAAUCCAAAUUCCUCUUUUAAGCUUUUUCACACCCUUAUUUUCAUAUACAUAGCACAGUCCUUCCUCCCAGUCCCAUAGAGAGUCACAUGAAAUAAACCUUCCUCACAGCCUUCAUGGAUCUUCCAUUUUCAUGUGUAAUAUUACUUCUGUGUCUGCCAGCCAUGUGAACCGCAGGGGCUGCAUGCAGGGUGGCUGUUUUUAUAAAUUACACUCCCUCACCUGAUCUUCCUCAUAUAGAAACAGAUAGUUAUAUUCUAUUUAUGCCUUAGCCAGGCUUGUUUGUAAUGCGAUCAAAAAGCAUUUCAUGGAAUUUGUUGUGGCACUGCACCCCUCAAGACCACGUGCACCUAAGCUGUGUUUAUGAACAGAAAUAUCUCAUUUCACAUGAUUACUUCCUGAAGGAGUUUCUAGAUGAUGUAUAUUUUCACAUCUCAGUGUAGUGGUAUUCGCACAACUUCAUUCUUCUCUUGCAAGCGCUUAUUUGCUCAAAAACUUGUCUUGCCUUGUUAUUAUUUCCAGCUAAGCUUUCCUCACUAUUCUUCAUACAUUGAAGAGAGAGAGACUUUAACUGGUUAUUUUUACUGUCACCCAAAAAUUGCAAUUAAAAAAAAACAACACAAACUCGAGUGUAAAAAUACUUCUGUCUUCCAACUGUAACCCUAUUAUUUUAGGUUAGUAGUACGGUUAAACAAGCAGUAGUUUUGUACCUUACGUGAUGCCAAUACAGUACUCCCAAAAACAAAGUUGAUUCUCCCAUGCUAAUUCACUUUCAUGUAUUUCCCUCUAACAAUAAUAUGCCAAUCUUAAAAUUGUAUUAUUUUUCAUGAUAAGACCAUGUUCCAUUAACUACUGUUAAACUGAUAAAGGUAUUAAGUAACAGUUUGUUUCAGGAUGUUAUUGUAUUACAUUAAAUAGUUAAUGAAAAGGACAGAACUCCAGCAGCGAUAAUUUAACUGUAUGCACGCCAUUUUAUAUAAUGUGAGGAUAAUACUAAUAGGCUUUACAUAGUUUUUAGAAGUCUUUCUUCCUCGCUCCCUGGAUAAUUUUUGUAUGGUUCAUUCAAUAAAAUUAAUUGCAGCAGAUCCAUUCUAAUAAAAAACUUACCACUAUUAUUAUACAACCCAAAACCUCGUCUUCCAUAUAACUACUCCUGGGUCCAAUAUUGUUCUGCUUUCUAAUUCUUGUAUAUAAUGUCACCCUCAUACUCAGAAAACGAAUCCCAUGCAUUUUGUCAUGAGUUAGUACCGUUACUGUAAGCUAUCGUAAGUACCAGAAACCAUAGAACCAUAUUGUACAUAUCAGAAAAAUUCCAGAAUGUCACUAUUUUAUCAUGUCCUUAGCUUUCCUUUCACUGUACUAACUCAAAUCCAGGGAGUUCAGGUUGUGCAGAGAACAUUUAGUAAAGAUUACAACAUGUGUAGGUAUCUACCCCUCAGAAAGCAUUAACUUUUAUUGCAGAUUUCUGCUAUAACAAAGCAUGAUUUAUAAAAAAAGACCCACUACUUUUAUGGACGUACAUCUUCUAGUUGUCUUUCUUUCUUUUUUUUACUCUAACUGCUUACAUUACUGUCUAUACAGAGCACUCUUUGUGCUGGCAUUUCCUCUUUGAUCUAUCUGCAAAUAAAAUCUAAAUACUCCUGCAACGCCAAUUAUGAAUGCAGAAUGUUUGCUUUCUUUCAGAUGCUCCUUUUAAGUUAGCAAUCCUAUACUGAACCAAUACCUUAAAUUUGUAUUUUUAUGGGAAUGUUCGUGCCUGUCCAUAAUUAUUAUGCCAUUGAUGCGAAUGGUGUGGUACUCUGAUCCUGUGAGGCAUGUGUGGCAUAAAAUACUCGAAAUGCUGUCACUGCGUUGUUAAGUUUCUUAUCUACUGGAAGUCCUGAAACAGCACAUCUGCUCGUUGUUUAGAGAUAUACGUGAUCAUGCUUAAGGCAGUAGUUUAGGCUGAUGGACGUAUACGUGAGAGAAAAAGGGACUGGUUUUGGACCAAGAGACUUAGGAAAGUUCGGUGCAAAAAGGAACAGGAAACUCAAGCUAGUAAAAGGAAGUAAAAAAGGAGAAGAUAGAGAAGGAAACAACAGGAGAGAUCUUUAAGCAGUGGGUCUGAAUAAAGAAACUACUGCCACAGGGAGGAGGACAAUGAUUUUAUGCUUUAGUAAGUCAGAACUUGCCAGUCCACAGCUUUUAAAAUAUAACCCACUUUCUGCAAGUGAGCCACGUAGGUCUCCAUAUUAAAAAUAAAAGAAGACUAGUGCUAUAUUUUGUUAAAUUUAAAUGACUUUAAUGCGGUUCACGUUUGAUUUUACAUUUCUACAAACAUCUUGAAAUUACAAGUUCAUUGGGAAACCAGCACACUUAAUUUGCGGUCGCAGCAAUACUUGUAGGUGAUUCAAAGCCAUACAACAACAAAAUCACAAUAGUGCCAUCUUCUUCUUUUUCUGUCUCUU